RNAcentral lists this ribosomal RNA (250 nucleotides) under uncultured bacterium. RNAcentral's name for it is "partial 16S ribosomal RNA". It matches the Rfam family "Bacterial small subunit ribosomal RNA", at positions 524 to 773 of the family's 1533-position model. The record is from RNAcentral.
UACGGAGGGAGCUAGCGUUGUUCGGAAUUACUGGGCGUAAAGCGCGCGUAGGCGGCUCAGCAAGUCAGGGGUGAAAUCCCGGGGCUCAACCCCGGAACUGCCCUUGAAACUGCUAGGCUAGAAUCCUGGAGAGGCGAGUGGAAUUCCGAGUGUAGAGGUGAAAUUCGUAGAUAUUCGGAAGAACACCAGUGGCGAAGGCGACUCGCUGGACAGGUAUUGACGCUGAGGUGCGAAAGCGUGGGGAGCAAAC